RNAcentral lists this ribosomal RNA (280 nucleotides) under Escherichia coli. Its description in RNAcentral is "partial 23S ribosomal RNA". It matches the Rfam family "Bacterial large subunit ribosomal RNA", at positions 2663 to 2925 of the family's 2925-position model. The record is from RNAcentral. Lineage: Bacteria; Pseudomonadati; Pseudomonadota; Gammaproteobacteria; Enterobacterales; Enterobacteriaceae.
UGAGGGGGGCUGCUCCUAGUACGAGAGGACCGGAGUGGACGCAUCACUGGUGUUCGGGUUGUCAUGCCAAUGGCACUGCCCGGUAGCUAAAUGCGGAAGAGAUAAGUGCUGAAAGCAUCUAAGCACGAAACUUGCCCCGAGAUGAGUUCUCCCUGACUCCUUGAGAGUCCUGAAGGAACGUUGAAGACGACGACGUUGAUAGGCCGGGUGUGUAAGCGCAGCAAUGCGUUGAGCUAACCGGUACUAAUGAACCGUGAGGCUUAACCUUACAACGCCGAAG